AUCAUUCACUGACAAAUUCUCUAGACACAUCCUUUGUUAAUCUGGAAGCCUUAAGAGAAAGCACCCCUCUCCCUGCUCAGGACCAGUUGUGCGAAAUUAAAGAAAGGAUCCAAUUAGAGGCUGGGGGCCUUCUUUAUCACCCUGAUACCUUCAACCAGACCACAGACCCCCAAAAUCAUCUGACAUUAACAUGGCACCAGAGGCUUGCCUCUAGCUGCAGGUAUCUUCUUGUUCGUCUGCUAGAAGAUAGAACGAAAAAGGAGCUCCUGACCUGUGUGGAAUCAUUCAGUAUUUUGCAGGCUCCUAUCUUCAUGGCUGCAAGGACUAACAAAUGCCUAUUUAAAAACAUUUAUUUUUCAUUGUCGUAGAGGAACAUGGGCAGCCCAGAGCUAUCAAGGGCUGCCCUGAAUAUUGAUCUGAGAGCACCCAGUCUAGACAGUCCCAGCAUGAGAUCCUCUGGAUCCCCUCUGCUCCUCUCUACAACAAAAGGAGAAUACAAUGGGAAAAUGUGGUGCUGGAAGCAAGUUACCAUAUAGCUAAGACUGCAGAGCUUCAAGUCUUCAAUCAAGUAAGGACAACCUCAGGAAUGAUGCUGUAUAUCAGUUGGGACAGGCCUUGUGUCCUGCUCUCAGUGGAUAAGAACAAUUCUACCAUGUUUUCACAAGUCUUUGAGAGGAUAUUGGUACUAGGUGAUAUGGAUGGUACCCAGUGUGUAAGGCAAAAAAUUUAUCACAGGCAUUUUCUUCUUGUGUGAAUUUUGAGAGAGAGUUCUAAGGAUAUGUCCUCAAUUAAUUGUCCUGUUUACCUUCACAAAGUUUUCAUUAUCUGACUUCCCUACUUUGGCGGUGCUUGGUGGUCCAAGCCUGACUUU
Molecule: long non-coding RNA, 871 nt
Filed under: Anas platyrhynchos platyrhynchos (common mallard)
Lineage: Eukaryota; Metazoa; Chordata; Aves; Anseriformes; Anatidae
Description: lncRNA (ENSAPLG00000020514.1)
Source: RNAcentral